UGGUUUGUUGAGAUCGGUGUGAAUGAACAUGACUGGCCUGCACAAAGCCCUGACCUCAACCCCAUCGAACACCUUUGGGAUGAAUUGGAACACCGACUGCGAGACAGGCCUCAUCGCCCCAACAUCAGUGCCUGAUCUCACUAAUGCUCGUGGCUGAAUGGAAGCAAGUCCCCACAGCAAUGUUCCAACAUCUAGUGGAAAGCCUUCCCAGAAGAGCAGAGGCUGUUAUAGCAGCAAAGGGGGGACCAACUCCAUAUUAAUGCCCAUGAUUUUGGAAUGAGAUGUUCAACAAGCAGGGGUGAUGAAGGGGUGACAUUGGAUGGGAGUCGUCUUCCAGAGAGAAGGAAGAGGCCAAGUGACCGGGCAGAGGAUGCUGAAACACUCCGUAACAGGUUGGAACCAACACGUUGCAGUAUCUCCAUCACAAGCGACACUCUGCUCACAGCCCCGUGUGAAUGUAGGUAGUGGACAGGUGCUGGACCGA
Oncorhynchus masou masou (cherry salmon) is the source of this 484-nucleotide long non-coding RNA. RefSeq lists it as uncharacterized. The transcript is spliced from 3 exons. The record is from RefSeq and is a predicted model, not a curated record. Lineage: Eukaryota; Metazoa; Chordata; Actinopteri; Salmoniformes; Salmonidae.